Solanum tuberosum (potato) is the source of this 336-nucleotide long non-coding RNA. RefSeq lists it as uncharacterized. The transcript has 3 exons. NCBI's taxonomy places the organism in Eukaryota, Viridiplantae, Streptophyta, Magnoliopsida, Solanales, Solanaceae. The record is from RefSeq and is a predicted model, not a curated record.
CCAUUUGAGGAUGAAGUUAUAUCUGUGGCUAACAUCUAGGCACAACCUCCGGGACAAGUAUUUAAUGUUGAGGCUGAAUUGUCCCUUGCAAGUAAGGAUCAACGCUUUAGUGUGUUAGCAUGCUCAAAUUGUAAGCAAUUGUUCACGAGAUAUAAUGUGCGAAGGGAAAUAUACUGCACAAGUUGUCACCGAUCCACACAUCUUAUUCCUAGAUGUAAAUUUGAAGUUACUAUUAAGGACAACAACGGUUUUGCAACAACUGUUAUUUCGGAUGAAAUUGCAGAGAAAAUGUUGCACCUCACUUCAGAAGAAAUUUAUGAAAUUUGCUUCGUCAAG